Molecule: long non-coding RNA, 5405 nt
Organism: Gallus gallus (chicken)
Lineage: Eukaryota; Metazoa; Chordata; Aves; Galliformes; Phasianidae
Source: Ensembl
CUAGAUUGUGUUCAACUGGUUCAACUGCUUUUGACUACCAAAUACCUCCAAGCAGGGACUGGGAGCCAGGAUGUGCUGCUCUGACCUACUGGCCGACUUGGCCGGAUUGAAGUACCCAAGUUCCGAUGUUGUGUCUCUUCUGGCAAAAGAAAAACGACAGCUGAGUAAAGCAGAGGUUUAUUCUCAGUGCCUAAUGCAGGUGUCUAUUGAUAAUGCAGUGUAAAAACAAUUUUGGGGCCUGUCCUCCUAGCUGCUGAAACUGCAGAAGAGCAUACUUGGCGUGCUGAGGUUCCAGGCUCUGUGCAUCCUCUGGGAUGGAUCUCAUCGCUGCCCUUUCCGCUGGGGACCAUGCAGGGGACACAGAAACGCUGCUGCCAAGGGGUGCAGAGAAGGAUGCGACAGCAUCACCAGCCUUGGAAGAAGUGACAGCAACAAGGGAGAUGGAAAGUCUGAAGGUGGCCAACUCUGAUGGAGCAGUGAUGGAAGCGUCAGAAAACCCAGAGGCAGAAGGAAUUGCUGAAAUGAUCCGAGCAGCAGAAAGAAUAGCAAAAUGCGAAGUGGCCAAAGUGCUGCAGUCAGCAAUAGCUGAGCUCAAAGAGAUGAGGAGGAGCACGUGGUUAAAGCCAAGGAACACCACCCAACAGGAGGAGGAGGACUGGGAGAAGAAGUGAGAGGUGAUGUGAAGUGAAGAUUUUCAUCGCCAGGGGAGAUGAGGACAGGACGGAAAGCAAUCCUUGUGCUUCAUGGAGGCUUUUCCCAGAGCUCUGAAGGUCAGAUGCUCACUUUUCCAGCUGAGGAAUUUGGGACUAUUCGUGCUGCCUACCUUUAAGGUGCCUGUUUUGUGUCCCGAAGUGAUGAAGCUCUUCCUUCGAACUUCUGUGCUUCCUCUGGAAUGAACCCUUAGAGACCAGCCUCCCAGAACUGGGUACGAAGAUCAGCGUAUAACUGAAAUGCCAUCUUGCAGAGCACAGUGACCUCUCUGGAGGGCUGUCCUUGGGCUGUGGCUUCAUGCUCCCCUGUCCCACGGGAGACACUGGAUUUCCUUCCUAGCCUGUCUCCCACGGAGCACUUUGGAGUACUUAUGUUUCUGUAGUGCAGGACUAAUCUGGAAAGCAGCUCAGAGCACACGUGGGAAGGUGUCCUAUGCAAAGGCUGCCCUCAAGCACCGCUCUGCAGCCCCAGCUUGGCCAUUCACGGUGCGUUUUGUUUGCCAAACAUAAAUUGAAAUAGGUCUUGAACAAUUGCACUGGCAUGUGUGUGUCUUUUUCUCCAGCCAAGCAGUGAAGGCACCGUGGCUCCUGUUACAGAGCAUGCCAAUACUUGGAACACGCUCCUGCCAAUAUCCCACAUAAAUCACGCCUUAUCCAGCCCUCCUCAGUCCUUCUGGAGAUUCCUACUUCACUGCAAGUGAUAUGUGAUGGAUCUGUGCUUCCUCGGAGCAUCACAUGGCAGGCAGAUCUCAAUAUGCAUAUUUACGCCUGGAGCUGCACCUCGACUCCUUGGGUUGCAUUGCGUAUGUGUAGCGAUUCCACGGCCAAGACUGCUUGCACAGGUAUGGAGGUGGGUUGUAAAACAGCACCCGUGGGACACAAAUCAACCAUGGUUGACGGAAUAGUGUUUCUCUGUGGGCAUCAAGAGAUGCAAUGGUUUCUAGUGUCCGUGAGGUAAUGUUGGAAUUACAAAUAAUAACAACAAAAGCCCAAUGGCUUCCCAGGCCGUGCUUCCCACACCUCCCCACCAUGUCAGAACAAUGACCGUGGACAAGAUUAAACCUGGCACCAUUCUCCUCCUGCACACAGAGGCAGAACUGCGGCUCUGCUGAAGACCGCAGGAAUUACCCCGGGGCUGGCUUGCAACCUCCGCUGCAUCCUUUCUGUGCAUGGUAACGAGGUGCUUUUCUUCUGCCAUGAGACCUACACGUGUCACGCUCGCUUGUGGCAUCGUCCUCAUUGCAGUUCCACGUGGAAGAGCAGAGCCUCCCAUGCCCAGACCCUCCUGCUUGGCCGCUGCCUGAGGAUGCGUGUCUUGCCAAGGUUUUGCCUUAAGCAGAGGAAGGAUGAAAAAUGCAGGGCCAGAGACUUUCUUACAGCUGAAAACCGCUGUCUGCUGCGCUGCUCCUCGGGACAGCACCGAGCAGGGAAACGCCUCCGCCACCCAGCAGUCAUUCUCUUCAUAGUGGGACAAGUGCAGAAUGGUGGAGGGGAAGCUCGGAUGGUGGUCCUGUCCAGGGAGACGCAGCCUCAUGUCUCCCACCCUCCUCCGCUUUGAUGACUGAACAUGUAGGACCGGUAAAACUCAAAUUUCAGAAGGGCUUUUUUUGAUAGUUAUAUAAAGGCAUCUAUUCCCGGAUAAGAUCUUCCAAGCAGAUCUUAUCUGGGAAUUAUUUUUGUGGUAGCAAUGGGGUGAUCAUCACAGAACCAUUAAGGCUGGAAAAGCCCUCUAAGGUAAGCCAGUCCAACUGUUCGCCUGUGACCAAUAUUGACCAUUAACCAUCAUCUCUGCUCUAAGUGGUUAAUCUUAACUGAAGCUAGAACACCUGAAAAGAGACAGCUGUAGUAUUUCUCCAGCUCUGGAGGUGGCAAAAACCUCUCAGCUAAAACAUUUGUAGCAAAUAAAUGGAUGCAGUUGCAGUGAUGUUUAAGCUUAGUGACUUCAUCUCAAUGCAGCUGAAUUAUUGCACUUUGUAUUUUCUGUCCCUCUCCCACACAGCAUGAAACAUUCGUUCCCUAGAAAUUUCCUUUGGUUUUAUUUAAACCAUUAAAAGUAAAACAAAUAGUACCUCCCUCAAGAAACGGCUGAGUUGAGCUAAGCUUCUUGCUCUGCUCCAAAUUUUUGAGAAAUACUGAUUACAUCAAAAUGAAAAUCAGUGUGUUUCGGGUGUUUGAAGGAGAAUUCUUGUUUCCUUUUAUUAUCUGGAGUUCCUCAACGAAAAAAACUACUUCCAAUUGAGCCACCUGGACAGUGAUUUGCAGAUUGAAAACAAACAGAAUCUCAUGGUUAAAGAGGUUCCUGAACGGGGGCAGGUGCUGUUGCAUUGCUCUAGAUUCCACUUGGAGAGCUGAAGGAACCAAAGGCACUGACUCAGAGCGUCUCAGCAGGAUUGAUCCAAUACAGACUGAUGACUGGCGUCUACGUGGAGGGAAAAGCUGAAGUCCUGCUCACAAUGGGUUCUCAGGACUCGCUGUGCACUUUGCCUCCCGACCUCCUGUUUUGCUGCAGGACCCCACAGAGCACACCCCUGAAAUCAGCCUUGCACAUACAAGGAGUGAAACCAUGGAGGGGAAGGAGUGACCCCGUGAAGGAGUGGAGACGCCAGAGCUGCAGGGGAGAGGCUGCCUGGGAAGUCAGAUGAGGACAGAAGGCAUCAGCCUUUCCAGGAAAGAACCUGUCCUUGCACAUUUCCUCGUGUCUGGGCUUCAACAACGUGAUUGCGAGCACAUGAGAAGAAGAAAACACCCCCCAUUUUGCUGAGCCCCAGCAGGGUGAACAGAGGGAAAAGGUGCUUCAGGGCAGGAAGAAACUGUGAAGAAACAGGUUUGGACAGGAGUUGAAGGAUUGUAUGCCCAAUUGAGCCUACAACUGAAAGCAAUGAGCUGGAUGGACACUCCUGGUAUGGGGUUGGAGGGUGAGUACUACCUGCCUGAGUACCACACCGCUUCCUUUAGGACACUGGGAGAUUUGCUGGAGCUCGCCCAUCUGACCCAAUCCUCCACAUGAGAUCUGGCAAGAUAAUCACUCCAAGCGUCUGGAAAGAAGCCCUUGCUUUCUCCACUGCACCUGAGGAACCAAUGGCAGAUGAUGGAGACAGAAUGGCUCACUGCUCUCAUGGCUGGAGAAGCGGUGGGAAGCUCUUGGCACCACAACCUCUGAGUUAAUGUACUCUGCUCUGCUCGCUGUGCCUCCUUGCUCCCAGCAUGGGCAUGGACUCCUGUUAUGCAGCAUGCCACAUUUUUUUCCUGCGGAAGACACCAAGAUUAGAUGAGAGGACGUGUUCGGCAGCAGAAGAGAAAGUCUCUGGCCAGCACACUUGAACUUUGGCCAGGCUGGCUUACCCAAGCAGUGAUUUUGGUCAACACACAACUUCUGUCCUGACCUUGCCAUCACAGAGGAAAAUGUCCAGUUAUGCAGCCUCCAGACUAAACCGCCACCAGCCCAAUGGAGACAACCUCAUCUGGGAGCUUGGGACUACCGAUGGGCACAGAAGAUUCAGCUUGGAAGCCAAUGGUUUAAUCGAAGCAUUGCAUGGAAGGUCCGGUCCUUGGCUGAUUGAUGGCUUGCUUGCUGACAGCUGGAAUGGCUCAUUCUUUGGGGCAGAAACCCAGUGGCAGCACUCAGUGAAGCAAGUGUUGAAGUGUUGACCCUUCCUGAGCCGUAAGUCUAGAGGAAACCAGUUAUUUUAUAUUAAUUUUUUUUAAUCCACUGGGGAUGGAAGGAAGAGUUGGUUGCUUCCUUGUACCUUACAAAGAAAUAGCCUCAUCCCCUCCCCCACCGUCCCUAUUGCUGGGUGCAGAAACUGUUCAAAUUAACCAAUGUUGGGGUUUUUGGUGGGUUUUUCUUUUUUCAACCAAAAAAAUCUAAAGGCAAAUAGUAUGAGGUCCUACAGCAGCCCAGCAUCUCUCUGAAUCCUUCCCCAAGCAACUUUUUCAACAGCACUUGGCCGCAAAGUCUAGAGAGCUCAGAGAUACAAAAUUCUUACAGGUUUUAUGAGUAGAUGGUUGAAUGGAGAUGACAGAGUAAAUUAGCACCUCUAUUGCAAAAAGUAGUGUUGUAGUGUUAAUUAAUUCCUUAACAAACAGCAGAGGAUCCUCAGCAGAGGCUGGGUCAAGGGGAGCCAAAGGGCUUUCUGAUCUCCCCCAGCUGUGGAGAAGCUCCAGUUAAAACUCUCACUUUAUCAGCCAUCUCACUGUGCAGUGGCACCUUGAAAAACAAACAAACUGGUUUUAUUUGUUCCCCGUCUCUCAGAACUUCUUGCUUAUGUGACAUCUUCAUUGAUAACUUAUGUGCAUGUGGGAGCUCUUCUGUAUCUCCUCUUUAGUCUCAUUUCUGAAGGAAAGGAAUAUCCCCUGGCUUAGAGCCACAUUGGAUGGGGUGAUACAACAGAAAGGAAACUUUCCAGUUUUGUCCUCCAGUCAAGAAAGAGGGCUGGUGUAAAUAAUUCCUCACAAAUGAGUGCUUUGAUAUCUUUGGCUCUUUCAGACUAUCUGGGAGUAGAUGCUUGAUAAAUUUCUCAUUUUAACUGGUGUAGCAAAUCUCUGGAGAAACCAACUGCUGUUUGCUGCACAUCUAUAGUAGUUAGCCAGAUUCCUCUGUUCUGAUUUGUCAGAUAGAGUGACUGAUGAUGUUUGUAAAUGUAAAUUUUAAGUUUCCUCAAAUUCUAGUGUGUAAAGCUUCAAAACAGUCAUUUU